This is an unclassified non-coding RNA of Junco hyemalis (dark-eyed junco), 229 nucleotides long. The record is from Ensembl. NCBI's taxonomy places the organism in Eukaryota, Metazoa, Chordata, Aves, Passeriformes, Passerellidae.
AGUAUUUAUAUAUCCGGAGAAAGUUCUCUACUAAAUUCUGGAGAUCCUCGGUAUUUAAAUGUCAACAUCGAUUUGUUUAUUUAUUGCUUGGCUUAUCGUAACCGACUCAAUAACAAAUCUAAUCAUGUUAUGCAGAGAGAAAAUAUUCUCAUUAUGUAUUUCCCCUACAUUAUAGUUAACUAUUGCGUUUGAAUUCAAGCUGUAAAUUCAAGAUUAUCAAGUAAUUACU